Syngnathus typhle (broad-nosed pipefish) is the source of this 482-nucleotide long non-coding RNA. RefSeq lists it as uncharacterized. NCBI's taxonomy places the organism in Eukaryota, Metazoa, Chordata, Actinopteri, Syngnathiformes, Syngnathidae. The record is from RefSeq and is a predicted model, not a curated record. The transcript is spliced from 2 exons.
ACGAAAAGCGCGCUCACAAUGUCUAUCUGAGAAAGCAUUUCACAAGCGUGACAUGUUGACACUUUAUUUCCACACAUUUCCUGCAAGUGAGCCGCUCACUUUAUCUUCCUCGUUUUGACUUCCCCUUUGUAGUCUAAAUGCUGAGAGCAAAUGACACUGUCAGCUCUUAGUAGUCAAAGGUGGGAGCAGCGAGAGCCAUCGGCCAUCAGAAGCAACGGCCACACACUGCAGGUGUCAAGACAGAAGAGGAUUUAUUCAUGCCUCCUGGCUGCUCAUUCAGACUCCACACUGAUGCGUCCAGAAGCUACAAACAACCGAGGCAGAUCUCAGAACUAAAACACAGGACGCCUGUCAGAAUGUUUUCAAAGCAUACAAAGAUUGAGCCCAAAAAAUUGUCAUAAUCACAGCUGGUGAAUAUUUACUGUCACUCAGCUGACAUUAAAAUGUGAUUUUGGAAAUGACCUUAAAAAAACAGGAAACAA